Molecule: small nuclear RNA, 337 nt
Filed under: Octodon degus (degu)
Lineage: Eukaryota; Metazoa; Chordata; Mammalia; Rodentia; Octodontidae
Description: 7SK RNA (ENSODEG00000023776.1)
Rfam family: 7SK RNA
About the family: 7SK was discovered as an abundant small nuclear RNA in the mid-70s but a possible function has only recently been suggested. Two independent studies have found that 7SK RNA binds the CDK9/cyclin T complex (known as elongation factor P-TEFb).
Source: Rfam by way of RNAcentral
GGAGCUUAGAGUGAUUUGCCUGGGGGGCAUAUUACCCCUUUGGUUGCCAGAGUUUAUUUGGCUGAUCCAGCUGGGGAGGGGUGUUCCCCCGCUUCCCCACCACUCCAUUUUCAUUGUUCCUGGAGCUGCCAGCUCAACAGAGGAGGAUGGCUUUCCCUGAUGGAGAAGGGUUGGUCUUCUGCCCAUGGCCAAUCACUCUGAGUACACCCUCAAUGAAACCUGAAAACAAGUUCUCAGAUGAUAGUUACCCUACUAAGGGAAAACUAAUGUUAGUUUUUGAUGAUCCCCCCAAAAUAACCAAAUGAAAAUAAAAACUAAAUGCAGACAUCUUCAUUUU